This 253-nucleotide ribosomal RNA is filed under the name uncultured bacterium. RNAcentral describes it as "partial 16S ribosomal RNA". It matches the Rfam family "Bacterial small subunit ribosomal RNA", at positions 524 to 776 of the family's 1533-position model. The record is from RNAcentral.
GACAGAGGGUGCAAACGUUGUUCGGAUUUACUGGGCGUAAAGCGCGUGUAGGCGGCUUUGCAAGUCGGAUGUGAAAGCCCACGGCUCAACCGUGGAAGUGCAUCCGAAACUGCAUGGCUGGAGUCUCGGAGAGGAAGGUGGAAUGCUUGGUGUAGAGGUGAAAUUCGUAGAUAUCAAGCAGAACACCGAUGGCGAAGGCAGCCCCCUGGGUCAAAACUGACGCUCAUGCACGAAAGCGUGGGGAGCAAACAGG